Dermacentor albipictus is the source of this 650-nucleotide long non-coding RNA. RefSeq lists it as uncharacterized. NCBI's taxonomy places the organism in Eukaryota, Metazoa, Arthropoda, Arachnida, Ixodida, Ixodidae. The record is from RefSeq and is a predicted model, not a curated record.
GUGGCGAGUGCAUCGGCUCAUGACAAGAGCACGUAGUCGAAUGCCAGAAGAAACAAAUGCAGUGGUUUUCAAGCACAUGUGAAGGCGCACGAGGAAGUCGGGCGUGCGGUUCUGGUUUGCAGUGCGUGACAGUCGAUAACCCCACCUCGCUCAAGGUGCUUUUCGGAGCCUUACUGAUUCCGUGGCCCAGCGGAGGAUUCUUCGAUGUAGCUGGGAACCGUUUCUACGUGGCAAACGGACGCGUGCUUCGCCACACAGUCAUCGCCUUUCCCGGAUAUCAGCGAACAGCCCGCCACUUUGGAUACAUUCAUUCAUCUGGCCUGGCAACCGCCUAUGUCAACUGAUACAAGGGGGGCGGAGGCACUAAAGCUGUGCUUCGACGGACUGCUGCCGGGGCGCGACAUCGCUGUCGACAUGAGCUUACCUCAUCUUUUUGCACAGGUAGACUUUCAGGUAGGAUACUUCAGAAAGAUGUCCAGGCAGAUGUCGGGAACAAGGCCAUUGUAAUUGAUCCAGCUCCGUUGCUCAAAACUUAUUAAUGUCGUCGGCCUGCUGGGAACAUCGAUUAUUUCUUUCCUUCAGCCUUGAAAAAUUAAAACCACAGCACCUACCACCACAGGAAAAGGUUCUCUGGAUAUUUGUCGAUCAGG